RNAcentral lists this ribosomal RNA (449 nucleotides) under uncultured bacterium. RNAcentral describes it as "partial 16S ribosomal RNA". It matches the Rfam family "Bacterial small subunit ribosomal RNA", at positions 29 to 523 of the family's 1533-position model. The record is from RNAcentral.
AACGAACGCUGGCGGCAUGCCUAACACAUGCAAGUCGCCCGAAGGCUUCGGCCUUAGUGGCGCACGGGUGCGUAACGCGUGGGAAUCUGCCCCUCGGUUCGGAAUAACAGUUAGAAAUUCCUGCUAAUACCUGCUGCUGACUUCGGUCCAAAGAUUUAUCGCCGAGGGAUGAGCCCGCGUAAGAUUAGGUAGUUGGUGGGGUAAAGGCCUACCAAGCCGACGAUCUUUAGCUGGUCUGAGAGGAUGAUCAGCCACACUGGGACUGAGACACGGCCCAGACUCCUACGGGAGGCAGCAGUGGGGAAUAUUGGACAAUGGGCGAAAGCCUGAUCCAGCAAUGCCGCGUGAGUGAUGAAGGCCUUAGGGUUGUAAAGCUCUUUUACCAGGGAUGAUAAUGACAGUACCUGGAGAAUAAGCUCCGGCUAACUCCGUGCCAGCCGCCGCCGUAA